Molecule: ribosomal RNA, 450 nt
Filed under: uncultured bacterium
Lineage: Bacteria
Description: partial 16S ribosomal RNA
Rfam family: Bacterial small subunit ribosomal RNA
Source: RNAcentral
GUGGGGAAUUUUGGACAAUGGGCGCAAGCCUGAUCCAGCAAUGCCGCGUGCAGGAAGAAGGCCUUCGGGUUGUAAACUGCUUUUGUACGGAACGAAACGGUCCGGGUUAAUACCCUGGGCUAAUGACGGUACCGUAAGAAUAAGCACCGGCUAACUACGUGCCAGCAGCCGCGGUAAUACGUAGGGUGCAAGCGUUAAUCGGAAUUACUGGGCGUAAAGCGUGCGCAGGCGGUUUUGUAAGACAGGCGUGAAAUCCCCGGGCUCAGCCUGGGAAUUGCGCUUGUGACUGCAAGGCUGGAGUGCGGCAGAGGGGGAUGGAAUUCCGCGUGUAGCAGUGAAAUGCGUAGAUAUGCGGAGGAACACCGAUGGCGAAGGCAAUCCCCUGGGCCUGCACUGACGCUCAUGCACGAAAGCGUGGGGAGCAAACAGGAUUAGAAACCCCGGUAGUCC